UGGUGGAGUGAUUUGUCUGGUUAAUUCCGAUAACGAACGAGACUUCUUCCUAUUAAAUAGCAUAGUUAAGCUUCUGUUUGGGUGAAGUAGUUAUGUCUGAUCAGUACAGGCAACUGUGUUGUGAUGCGUGGCUAUGGAACCUUGAUGACUUGGCUAUAAUUCAACGCUUCUUAAAGGGACUAUUGGCGUUUAGUCAAUGGAGGUGAGGCAAUAACA
This 216-nucleotide ribosomal RNA is filed under the name uncultured eukaryote. RNAcentral's name for it is "partial 18S ribosomal RNA". It matches the Rfam family "Eukaryotic small subunit ribosomal RNA", at positions 1299 to 1458 of the family's 1831-position model. The record is from RNAcentral.